UUCUUCUUGAUUUUAAUCUGAAGUAUAGCCUGCCCGCUGAUGAAUAUUGAAGGGCCGCGGUAUUGUGACCGUGCGAAGGUAGCAUAAUCAUUAGUUUUUUAAUUGAAGGCUGGAAUGAAUGGUUGGACGAGAUAAGGGCUGUCUUGUUAUUAAUGAUUUAGAAUUUAACAUUCAAAUUAAAAGGUUUGAAUGGUAUUAUGGGACGAGAAGACCCUAUAGAGUUUAAUAAUAUGAAUACUGUAUUUGUGUUUGAUUAUUAAUUUAGAUUUUGAUAUUAUUUUGUUGGGGCGAUAGUGAGGAUAAAAUAACCCUUAUUUAUAUUGUUGAUACUGAUUUGUAUUAUUUUGAUCCAUUAUUUGAUGAUUAUAAGAUUAAAUUACCUUAGGGAUAACAGCGUGAUUUUUUUGGAGAGUUCUAAUUGAUAAAAAAGAUUGCGA
RNAcentral lists this ribosomal RNA (437 nucleotides) under Eupolyphaga sinensis. RNAcentral's name for it is "partial 16S ribosomal RNA". It matches the Rfam family "Bacterial large subunit ribosomal RNA", at positions 1830 to 2523 of the family's 2925-position model. Lineage: Eukaryota; Metazoa; Arthropoda; Insecta; Blattodea; Corydiidae. The record is from RNAcentral.